The sequence is a ribosomal RNA, 207 nucleotides long. It matches the Rfam family "Bacterial small subunit ribosomal RNA", at positions 568 to 774 of the family's 1533-position model.
CGUGUAGGCGGUUUUGCAAGUCAGAUGUGAAAUUCCCAGGCUUAACCUGGGCGCUGCACCUGAAACUGCAAGACUUGAGUACUGGAGAGGAUAGUGGAAUUCCUAGUGUAGCGGUAAAAUGCGCAGAUAUUAGGAGGAACACCGGUGGCGAAGGCGACUAUCUGGACAGUAACUGACGCUGAGGCGCGAAAGCGUGGGGAGCAAACA